GGAGACUGCAAGCGUUGUUCGGAUUCAUUGGGGCGUAAAGGGUCCGUAGGGCGGGUUGACCAAGUCGGAUGUGAAAUUCCCGAGCCCAACUCGGGUUAGUCAUUCGAAACUGGUUGACUAGAGGACUGGAGAGGAGACUGGAAUUGUCGGUGUAGCGGUGAAAUGCGUAGAGAUCGACAAGAACACCUGUGGCGAAGGCGGGUCUCUGGACAGUUCCUGACGCUGAGGGACGAAAGCUAGGGGAGCGAACGGGAUUAGAUACCCCGGUAGUCCUAGCCGUAAACGGUGUUCACUUGGUGUGGGGGGAGUCGACCCCCUCCGUGCCGGAGCUAACGCGUUAAGUGAACCGCCUGGGAAGUACGGCCGCAAGGCUA
This 374-nucleotide ribosomal RNA is filed under the name uncultured organism. RNAcentral describes it as "partial 16S ribosomal RNA". It matches the Rfam family "Bacterial small subunit ribosomal RNA", at positions 527 to 896 of the family's 1533-position model. The record is from RNAcentral.